Molecule: non-coding RNA, 118 nt
Organism: Cinara cedri
Lineage: Eukaryota; Metazoa; Arthropoda; Insecta; Hemiptera; Aphididae
Source: the annotation of a GenBank genome assembly
AUCAACCAUAUCACAGUGAAUACACCAGUUGUCGUCCGAUCGCUGGAGUUAAGCAACGUCGGGCGCAGUUAGUUCUUAGAUGGUUGCCACUUGGAAAUACUACUACGUGCCGUUGAUA